GGGUUGUGAGGUUAAGCGACUAAGCGUACACGGUGGAUGCCCUGGCAGUCAGAGGCGAUGAAGGACGUGCUAAUCUGCGAUAAGCGUCGGUAAGGUGAUAUGAACCGUUAUAACCGGCGAUUUCCGAAUGGGGAAACCCAGUGUGAUUCGUCACACUAUCAUUAACUGAAUCCAUAGGUUAAUGAGGCGAACCGGGGGAACUGAAACAUCUAAGUACCCCGAGGAAAAGAAAUCAACCGAGAUUCCCCCAGUAGCGGCGAGCGAACGGGGAGGAGCCCAGAGCCUGAAUCAGUGUGUGUGUUAGUGGAAGCGUCUGGAAAGGCGCGCGAUACAGGGUGACAGCCCCGUACACAAAAAUGCACAUGCUGUGAGCUCGAUGAGUAGGGCGGGA
RNAcentral lists this ribosomal RNA (391 nucleotides) under Escherichia coli. Its description in RNAcentral is "partial 23S ribosomal RNA". It matches the Rfam family "Bacterial large subunit ribosomal RNA", at positions 1 to 422 of the family's 2925-position model. The record is from RNAcentral. Lineage: Bacteria; Pseudomonadati; Pseudomonadota; Gammaproteobacteria; Enterobacterales; Enterobacteriaceae.